UACGUAGGGGGCAAGCGUUGUCCGGAUUUAUUGGGCGUAAAGAGCGUGUAGGCGGUUUGGUAGGUCCGCUGUGAAAACUCGAGGCUCAACCUCGAGACGCCGGUGGAAACCAUCAGACUAGAGUCCGGAAGAGGAGAGUGGAAUUCCUGGUGUAGCGGUGAAAUGCGCAGAUAUCAGGAAGAACACCCGUGGCUAAGGCGGCUCUCUAGUACGGUACUGACGCUGAGACGCGAAAGCGUGGGGGAGCGAACGGG
Molecule: ribosomal RNA, 254 nt
Filed under: uncultured bacterium
Lineage: Bacteria
Description: partial 16S ribosomal RNA
Rfam family: Bacterial small subunit ribosomal RNA
Source: RNAcentral